CAAUAGAGUCAUUUCCCAUGUGUUAAGGUGUGUUUGGUUCGCGUUAUCUUUUUAAGAUUUCAGAUAAUUCACUAGGAAUAAAGAAAAUAUGAUGGUGUUUGGCUAAAUGCACCAAGUAAUUUGACCGGCAAUGUUGGAUCCAUUUGAAAUUAAGAUUUACCCCAAAAUAAUACUCUUAUUCCUUUGGGAGAAGAUGGGCAUCCUCGUCCUAAUGAAUUGGGGUAAUCAUAAAUUUCUAUUACGAUCUACUCUUUUUCUACCUCCCCACCUUUGUCACUCACUUCUACCCUUUAAUCUCACUUUCUCUCUCUAAACCUAAACUCUCACUUUCUCUCUCUAGCUAACUUCAUCUCUCUAUCCCUUCUACAAUCCUCGAUGCUAUCUCUCUCCUUAUUUCCCUAAAGGGGUUUUUGGUAUCAUGUAGUUGCAACUGCACUACAAUUGAAACUACACGUAUAUCCAAAUCCAAUGUUUGGUUUAAUGUUUUUGAAUCCAACUGCUGCAGUUGGAACUGCAUGAGGGGGCACAACUGCAACAACUGUAACUAUGUCUACAUUGGUUGCAUUUCCAACUAUAGCAGUUGGAAAGAGAAAUUUUAAAUAAAAGGUAAGCUUAUCUCUCUAACAACUUCUUAAACAAAUAUAUAUAUUUUUCUACAUUGGAAGUAAUUUACCUCCCUAUAUAUAUAAUAGCAAAAUUUAAAAAUGUUCUUCUCAGCUAUAUAUAACCAAACAAAUUAUUUAUAAUUGCAGUGCUUUCUAUUAUAUCCAACCAAGCAAGCUGCAUAUAAUUAUAACCAUUACAUUUUCAACUGCAUGCUAUACUAUAUUUAUAAUUAUAUCCAACCAAAUAUCCCCUAAUUAUACUCUCGAACAUAUGCUCACUUUUUCUCUCUAAUCUCAACUCUCUCUCUCCCUCUAGCCGAAAUCUCUUACACACUUUCUAAUCCUCUCUCUCUCUCUAAGAUAAGCUAUCCAUCUCUCUUUUUCUCUCUAUAUCUCUAACAUAAAUACUUUCUUUCUCUCUCUCUCUCGCUCUCCCUAUCUAAUCCCAACUCUCUCCACCUUUAACCUCAAUUCGUUCUCUUUUGUAAGCUACGCUCUCUCAAUUUAACCUAAAAAUAAAUCUAACCUGAUUGUUGAAAUCAAAAAGAUAUUUACAUUACUGCUAAUACUACCCAAAAUUAAAUGACAAAACAAACACAUUCUCAAAUAAAAUACUAGCUAGAAUGCAACAUUCUUAGGAAUAGAAUGAGUAGGAAUCAAAUCCUUACAAAUCCUUCAUUCCUAAUAAUCUUUCAUGGUGCGAACCAAAUGCAGCCUUAAUGUUUGAUUUUUUUGUUUUAAUUAUAGUAUGUA
RNAcentral lists this long non-coding RNA (1358 nucleotides) under Ananas comosus (pineapple). Its description in RNAcentral is "long non-coding RNA (ACOM_LNC017659)". Lineage: Eukaryota; Viridiplantae; Streptophyta; Magnoliopsida; Poales; Bromeliaceae. The record is from RNAcentral.